This 468-nucleotide ribosomal RNA is filed under the name uncultured bacterium. RNAcentral's name for it is "partial 16S ribosomal RNA". It matches the Rfam family "Bacterial small subunit ribosomal RNA", at positions 28 to 507 of the family's 1533-position model. The record is from RNAcentral.
GACGAACGCUGGCGGCGUGCUUAACACAUGCAAGUCGAACGGAAAGGCCCUGCUUUUGUGGGGUGCUCGAGUGGCGAACGGGUGAGUAACACGUGAGUAACCUGCCCUUGACUUUGGGAUAACUUCAGGAAACUGGGGCUAAUACCGGAUAGGAGCUCCUGCUGCAUGGUGUGGGUUGGAAAGUUUCGGCGGUUGGGGAUGGACUCGCGGCUUAUCAGCUUGUUGGUGGGGUAGUGGCUUACCAAGGGUUUGACGGGUAGCCGGCCUGAGAGGGUGACCGGCCACAUUGGGACUGAGAUACGGACCAGACUCCUACGGGAGGCAGCAGUGGGGAAUAUGGCGCAAUGGGCGGAAGUCUGAUGCAGCAACGCCGCGUGCGGGAUGACGGCCUUCGGGUUGUAAACCGCUUUCGCCUGUGACGAAGCGUGAGUGACGGUAAUGGGUAAAGAAGCACCGGCUAACUACGUG